This 859-nucleotide ribosomal RNA is filed under the name Pantoea agglomerans. RNAcentral describes it as "bacterial SSU rRNA". It matches the Rfam family "Bacterial small subunit ribosomal RNA", at positions 61 to 907 of the family's 1533-position model. The record is from RNAcentral. Lineage: Bacteria; Pseudomonadati; Pseudomonadota; Gammaproteobacteria; Enterobacterales; Erwiniaceae.
GUCGGACGGUAGCACAGAGGAGCUUGCUCCUUGGGUGACGAGUGGCGGACGGGUGAGUAAUGUCUGGGGAUCUGCCCGAUAGAGGGGGAUAACCACUGGAAACGGUGGCUAAUACCGCAUAACGUCGCAAGACCAAAGAGGGGGACCUUCGGGCCUCUCACUAUCGGAUGAACCCAGAUGGGAUUAGCUAGUAGGCGGGGUAAUGGCCCACCUAGGCGACGAUCCCUAGCUGGUCUGAGAGGAUGACCAGCCACACUGGAACUGAGACACGGUCCAGACUCCUACGGGAGGCAGCAGUGGGGAAUAUUGCACAAUGGGCGCAAGCCUGAUGCAGCCAUGCCGCGUGUAUGAAGAAGGCCUUCGGGUUGUAAAGUACUUUCAGCGGGGAGGAAGGCGAUGGGGUUAAUAACCUUGUCGAUUGACGUUACCCGCAGAAGAAGCACCGGCUAACUCCGUGCCAGCAGCCGCGGUAAUACGGAGGGUGCAAGCGUUAAUCGGAAUUACUGGGCGUAAAGCGCACGCAGGCGGUCUGUUAAGUCAGAUGUGAAAUCCCCGGGCUUAACCUGGGAACUGCAUUUGAAACUGGCAGGCUUGAGUCUUGUAGAGGGGGGUAGAAUUCCAGGUGUAGCGGUGAAAUGCGUAGAGAUCUGGAGGAAUACCGGUGGCGAAGGCGGCCCCCUGGACAAAGACUGACGCUCAGGUGCGAAAGCGUGGGGAGCAAACAGGAUUAGAUACUCCUGGUAGUCCACGCCGUAAACGAUGUCGACUUGGAGGUUGUUCCCUUGAGGAGUGGCUUCCGGAGCUAACGCGUUAAGUCCGACCGCCUGGGGAGUACGGCCGCAAGGUUAAAACUCAAAAU